RNAcentral lists this ribosomal RNA (253 nucleotides) under uncultured bacterium. RNAcentral's name for it is "partial 16S ribosomal RNA". It matches the Rfam family "Bacterial small subunit ribosomal RNA", at positions 524 to 776 of the family's 1533-position model. The record is from RNAcentral.
UACGUAGGUGGCAAGCGUUGUUCGGAUUUAUUGGGCGUAAAGAGCUCGUAGGCGGCUUGUCGCGUCGACCGUGAAAACUUGGGGCUCAACCCCAAGCCUGCGGUCGAUACGGGCAGGCUCGAGUUCGGUAGGGGAGACUGGAAUUCCUGGUGUAGCGGUGAAAUGCGCAGAUAUCAGGAGGAACACCGAUGGCGAAGGCAGGUCUCUGGGCCGAUACUGACGCUGAGGAGCGAAAGCGUGGGGAGCGAACAGG